This 304-nucleotide long non-coding RNA is filed under the name Solanum tuberosum (potato). RNAcentral describes it as "long non-coding RNA (STUB_LNC000851)". The record is from RNAcentral. Lineage: Eukaryota; Viridiplantae; Streptophyta; Magnoliopsida; Solanales; Solanaceae.
CAUAUUUUUACUGGUUAAACCGAAAACCGAACCGUUAAGAAACAAAACUGAUAAACCGAAAACCGAUAAAAAAUUAUCUUAUUGGUUCGUUAUUGGUUUAGCGUACUUAAAAACCAAUAAAUCGAACCGAUAAUACAUAAAACUAAACCGAUCCGAUCGAUGCACACCCCUAACAACAAACCAAACACUCAAUAAGAAAUAAUCUCAGCACAACUUAUCCCAUCAUAAAAUCUCAACACAACUUAUCCCAUCAUAAAUCUCAACAUAACUUAUCCCAUCAUAACGCAUAUCCAAACCAAACGAC